This 1161-nucleotide ribosomal RNA is filed under the name Escherichia sp. ESBL54B15_13_1E. RNAcentral's name for it is "bacterial SSU rRNA". It matches the Rfam family "Bacterial small subunit ribosomal RNA", at positions 53 to 1203 of the family's 1533-position model. The record is from RNAcentral. Lineage: Bacteria; Pseudomonadati; Pseudomonadota; Gammaproteobacteria; Enterobacterales; Enterobacteriaceae.
ACAUGCAAGUCGAACGGUAACAGGAAGCAGCUUGCUGCUUCGCUGACGAGUGGCGGACGGGUGAGUAAUGUCUGGGAAACUGCCUGAUGGAGGGGGAUAACUACUGGAAACGGUAGCUAAUACCGCAUAACGUCGCAAGACCAAAGAGGGGGACCUUCGGGCCUCUUGCCAUCGGAUGUGCCCAGAUGGGAUUAGCUAGUAGGUGGGGUAACGGCUCACCUAGGCGACGAUCCCUAGCUGGUCUGAGAGGAUGACCAGCCACACUGGAACUGAGACACGGUCCAGACUCCUACGGGAGGCAGCAGUGGGGAAUAUUGCACAAUGGGCGCAAGCCUGAUGCAGCCAUGCCGCGUGUAUGAAGAAGGCCUUCGGGUUGUAAAGUACUUUCAGCGGGGAGGAAGGGAGUAAAGUUAAUACCUUUGCUCAUUGACGUUACCCGCAGAAGAAGCACCGGCUAACUCCGUGCCAGCAGCCGCGGUAAUACGGAGGGUGCAAGCGUUAAUCGGAAUUACUGGGCGUAAAGCGCACGCAGGCGGUUUGUUAAGUCAGAUGUGAAAUCCCCGGGCUCAACCUGGGAACUGCAUCUGAUACUGGCAAGCUUGAGUCUCGUAGAGGGGGGUAGAAUUCCAGGUGUAGCGGUGAAAUGCGUAGAGAUCUGGAGGAAUACCGGUGGCGAAGGCGGCCCCCUGGACGAAGACUGACGCUCAGGUGCGAAAGCGUGGGGAGCAAACAGGAUUAGAUACCCUGGUAGUCCACGCCGUAAACGAUGUCGACUUGGAGGUUGUGCCCUUGAGGCGUGGCUUCCGGAGCUAACGCGUUAAGUCGACCGCCUGGGGAGUACGGCCGCAAGGUUAAAACUCAAAUGAAUUGACGGGGGCCCGCACAAGCGGUGGAGCAUGUGGUUUAAUUCGAUGCAACGCGAAGAACCUUACCUGGUCUUGACAUCCACAGAACUUUCCAGAGAUGGAUUGGUGCCUUCGGGAACUGUGAGACAGGUGCUGCAUGGCUGUCGUCAGCUCGUGUUGUGAAAUGUUGGGUUAAGUCCCGCAACGAGCGCAACCCUUAUCCUUUGUUGCCAGCGGUCCGGCCGGGAACUCAAAGGAGACUGCCAGUGAUAAACUGGAGGAAAGGUGGGGAUGACGUCAAGUCAUCAUGGCCCUU